RNAcentral lists this non-coding RNA (21 nucleotides) under Caenorhabditis elegans. Lineage: Eukaryota; Metazoa; Nematoda; Chromadorea; Rhabditida; Rhabditidae. The record is from RNAcentral.
UGUUUUCACUUUAUCCUCGCU